CUUGUGGAGAAACGGUCCUUCAAGGUGCCUCUGGGAAAGGGAAGACGCUGUGUUGUUCUAGCAGAUGGAUUCUAUGAGUGGCAGCGAUGUCAGAACACAAGCCACAGGCAGCCAUACUUCAUCUACUUUCCUCAAAUCAAAACAGAAAAGUCAAGCAGCAUUGGUGCUGCAAGUAGUCCUGAGGACUGGGAGAAAGUUUGGGACAACUGGAGGCUACUAACAAUGGCCGGGAUCUUUGACUGCUGGGAGCCACCACAGGGAGGAGACUGCCUGUAUUCCUACACCAUCAUCACAGUGGAUUCCUGCAAAGGCUUGAAUGACAUCCACCAUAGGAUGCCUGCCAUAUUAGAUGGAGAGGAGGCAGUCUCUAAAUGGCUUGAUUUUGGUGAGGUCUCAACUCAGGAAGCUCUGAAGUUAAUCCAGACCUCAGAAAACAUCACCUUCCAUCCAGUCUCUACCGUGGUGAACAACUCCCGAAACAACACUCCUGAGUGUCUGGCUCCUGUUGGCUUAGAGGUCAAAAAGGAGUCCAAGGCAAGUGGCAGCAGCCAGAAGAUGUUGCAGUGGCUGGCCACAAAGUCACCCAAAAAGGAAGACCCCAAAACACCCCAAAAGGCAGAGCCAGAUGUGCCCCAGUGGUCCAGCCAGUUCCUGCGGAAGAGCCCAUUCCCUACCAAGAGAGGAGGUGCAGGAUGUCUGGAGCGAUGGCUGAAACAGGAGAAGGAGGAAGAGCCAGUGGCCAAGCGACCUCACAACCAGUAAUGCAGGACUUUGAGAGACCAAGGUCAUGGUUUGCUGUACUAAAUACUGUUGCUGAUAACAGAUUCUUUCA
Molecule: RNA transcript, 832 nt
Organism: Myotis lucifugus (little brown bat)
Lineage: Eukaryota; Metazoa; Chordata; Mammalia; Chiroptera; Vespertilionidae
Gene name: embryonic stem cell-specific 5-hydroxymethylcytosine-binding protein pseudogene
Exons: 1
Source: RefSeq, a predicted model, not a curated record